AUUAGGUUUAACCCAGAAGAAUUUAGCUAAACAGUUUGAUUUCCCUAUACCUUUGAAUGAAGCUUCGAAAGUAAUGAAGAAAAAGAAAAAGGUUCGCGUAUGGAAUAAAGUAUACAAAGUCAUUUCUAGAAUGCUUGAAGAAAAUGAAAAAUACAGACUCAGGCUGAAAUACCAACAACUAUCCAGUGAAAGCAAGUUAACACAGUUGAUUGUAUGAAAGAAGACUGGCUUUCCUAACAGACUCAGAUUACACAAGAUGCAUCUUCUUAUCAUCUUCUGGAUUAACCUAUCUUUGGAUCCGUUUACCAAAGAAGAUUGUGAAGAGUUUAAAGAUGGAACUUUAAAUUGAAUCAUAAUUAUAUGUUAAUUUUGGUGUGUUUUGUUGGUAUUGGGACUUUAAUAUUUGAAUAGAAAAACUACCUUCUUUAUAAAUUAAUAGUAUUUCUUUACAAAUUAAAUAUGGUUGUAUGCACACAAGUGUUAUGCAAGUGUUUUUCAAGUGGGAAUUAGUACUUAUUCUGUAUUCCUUUAAAUUAAUCUUAUACAUAAAAUUUAAAUUGACAUAGCAAUACACUCACAGGCAUUUAUAUUUACCAAUGUUUCCCUUUAAUGAAUGUGUCUGCAAACCACCACUUUAUUCAUCCCUCAUUAUGAUAUAACUGCUUUAAAUUAAACUUCGAUUCAUUUAAA
Molecule: long non-coding RNA, 690 nt
Organism: Herpailurus yagouaroundi (jaguarundi)
Lineage: Eukaryota; Metazoa; Chordata; Mammalia; Carnivora; Felidae
Exons: 4
Source: RefSeq, a predicted model, not a curated record